AGAGUUUGAUCCUGGCUCAGGAUAAACGCUGGCGGCGUGCCUAAUACAUGCAAGUCGAACGAGGAGUCUUUGUAGCAAUACGGAGAUUUCCUAGUGGCGAAUGGGUGAGUAACGCGUUGGUGACCUACCCCGAAGAGAGGAAUAACUCCGGGAAACUGGAGCUAAUACCCCAUGUGGUUACCAGGGUUAGAGUCCUGGCAACUGAAGGAGCAAUCCACUUUGGGAGGGACCUGCGUCCCAUCAGCUUGUUGGUAGGGUAACGGCCUACCAAGGCUACGACGGGUAGGGGGCCUGAGAGGGUGGCCCCCCACACUGGCACUGAAACACGGGCCAGACACCUACGGGUGGCAGCAGUAGGGAAUAUUGCACAAUGGGCGAAAGCCUGAUGCAGCAACGCCGCGUGCGCGAUGAAGACCUUCGGGUUGUAAAGCGCUUUUCUGAAGGACGAGGAAGGACGGUACUUCAGGAAUAAGGAUCGGCUAACUACGUGCCAGCAGCCGCGGUAAUACGUAGGAUCCGAGCGUUAUCCGAAUUUACUGGGCGUAAAGCGCGUGCAGGCGGUUUGGUAAGUUGGAUGUGAAAGCUCCCGGCUCAACUGGGAGAGGCCGUUCAAAACUACCAGACUAGAGGACGGUAGAGGGAGGUAGAAUUCCCGGUGUAGUAGUGAAAUGCGUAGAUAUCGGGAGGAAUACCAGUGGCGAAGGCGGCCUCCUGGACCGUUCCUGACGCUCAGACGCGAAAGCUAGGGGAGCGAACGGGAUUAGAAACCCCGGUAGUCCUAGCUGUAAACGAUGCAAACUUGGUGUUGGUGGGGUAAAAUCCGCCGGUGCCGAAGCUAACGCGAUAAGUUUGCCGCCUGGGGACUACGACCGCAAGGUUAAAACUUAAAGGAAUUGACGG
RNAcentral lists this ribosomal RNA (900 nucleotides) under uncultured bacterium. RNAcentral's name for it is "bacterial SSU rRNA". It matches the Rfam family "Bacterial small subunit ribosomal RNA", at positions 8 to 916 of the family's 1533-position model. The record is from RNAcentral.